Molecule: long non-coding RNA, 648 nt
Organism: Oncorhynchus tshawytscha (Chinook salmon)
Lineage: Eukaryota; Metazoa; Chordata; Actinopteri; Salmoniformes; Salmonidae
Exons: 4
Source: RefSeq, a predicted model, not a curated record
ACCAGUUACAGACCAGUUACAACAACCUGACUAAAGAAAGAGACCAACUACAGACUGAGAGAGAUUUUCUUAGCGGGAGGCUUACCAAUUGCAAACAAAGCUGUCCUGAAGGCUGGCAGAAAUUUGAAUCCAGUUGGUACUUCCUCUCUGAGAUGACUGAGAAAACCUGGGAGAAGAGCAGAAAGGACUGUCUGGAGAGAGGAGCAGACCUGGUGAUCAUAAACAGCAAUAAGGAACAGGAGUUUCUCUUCAACCUCAAGAAGGCAGUCUGGAUUGGUCUGACUGACUCUGUUAAGGAGGGGACCUGGAAAUGGUAGGACGGCACCCCACUGACCACAGGGUACUGGUAUGACAAACAGCCUGAUAAUGCAGGUCCUACUCAGAACGAGGACUGUGCUGAGAUACGUAAUGACCAGCUUCCUCUAAAGGCAUGGAACGACUUGUCAUGUGACAGCAAACUCAACUGGAUUUGUGAGAAAGCGUUGUAACAUCCCCAUGACAACAUACUGCAACACAUACAGUAGAAAACAGUGCACACAAUUUCCUCCUCCAUUCUCUCUCUCUCUCUCUCUCUCUCUCUCUCUCUCCUCUCAAACCCUCACCCACUCAUAUAUGCAUGCAAACAUGUUUGUAGUAUCAUACUAAUAA